Molecule: transfer RNA, 71 nt
Filed under: Clostridioides difficile
Lineage: Bacteria; Bacillati; Bacillota; Clostridia; Peptostreptococcales; Peptostreptococcaceae
Description: tRNA-Ser
Rfam family: tRNA
About the family: Transfer RNA (tRNA) molecules are approximately 80 nucleotides in length.
Source: RNAcentral
GUCCGAGUGGUUUAAGGAGCUGGUCUUGAAAACCAGUGACUUCGAAAGGGGCCGUGGGUUCGAAUCCCACC